RNAcentral lists this ribosomal RNA (460 nucleotides) under uncultured bacterium. Its description in RNAcentral is "partial 16S ribosomal RNA". It matches the Rfam family "Bacterial small subunit ribosomal RNA", at positions 338 to 795 of the family's 1533-position model. The record is from RNAcentral.
CCUACGAGAGGCAGCAGUGAGGAAUAUUGGUCAAUGGGCGCAAGCCUGAACCAGCCAAGUCGCGUGAGGGAUGACGGUCCUAUGGAUUGUAAACCUCUUUUGUCGGGGAGCAAGGCCCGCCACGUGUGGCGGGAAGGAGAGUACCCGAAGAAAAAGCAUCUGCUAACUCCGUGCCAGCAGCCGCGGUAAUACGUAGGAUGCGAGCGUUAUCCGGAUUGAUUUGGUGUACAGGGUGCGUAGGCGGAAGGUUAAGUCAGCGGUAAAGUGUCGGUGCUAAACACCGGACUGCCGUUGAAACUGGUCUUCUUGAGUGAGCGAGAAGUGUGCGGAAUGCGUGGUGUAGCGGUGAAAUGCAUAGAUAUCACGAAGAACUCCGAUUGCGAAGGCAGCAUACCGGCGCUCAACUGACGCUGAGGCACGAAAGCGUGGGGAUCGAACAGGAUUAGAUACCCCUGUAGUC